UACGGAGGGUGCAAGCGUUAAUCGGAAUUACUGGGCGUAAAGCGCACGCAGGUGGCUGAGUCAGUCGAUUGUGAAAGCCCUGGGCUUAACCUGGGAAUUGCAGUCGAUACUACUCGGCUCGAGUAUGGGAGAGGGCAGUGGAAUUCCCGGUGUAGCGGUGAAAUGCGCAGAUAUCAGGAGGAACACCUAUGGCGAAGGCAGCUCGCUGGGACGUUACUGACGCUGAGACGCGAAAGCGUGGGGAGCAAACAGG
RNAcentral lists this ribosomal RNA (253 nucleotides) under uncultured bacterium. RNAcentral's name for it is "partial 16S ribosomal RNA". It matches the Rfam family "Bacterial small subunit ribosomal RNA", at positions 524 to 776 of the family's 1533-position model. The record is from RNAcentral.